Molecule: ribosomal RNA, 468 nt
Filed under: uncultured bacterium
Lineage: Bacteria
Description: partial 16S ribosomal RNA
Rfam family: Bacterial small subunit ribosomal RNA
Source: RNAcentral
GACGAACGCUGGCGGCGUGCCUAACACAUGCAAGUCGAACGGAAAGGCCCUGCUUUUGUGGGGUGCUCGAGUGGCGAACGGGUGAGUAACACGUGAGUAACCUGCCCCUGACUGUGUGAUAACUUCAGGAAACUGGGGCGCAUAUCGGAUAGGAGCUCCUGCUGCAUGGUGGGGGUUGGUAAGUUUCGGUCGUUGUGGAUGUACUCGCGGCUUAUCAGCUUGUUGGUGGGGUAGUGGCUGACCAAGGCUUUGACGGGUAGCCGGCCUGAGAGGGUGGCCGGCGACCUUGGUCCUGAGGUAAGGCGCAGACUAGUACGUGCGGCAGAAGUGGGGAGUCUUACACAGUGGGGCGACGCCAGAUACGGAAACGCCCCGUGCGGAAUGCCCGCCUUCGGGUUAUAAACCGCUUUGGAAUAUAAUGAGCCGUGAGUGACGGUACUGGGUAAAGAAGCACCGGCUAACUACGUG